GGUGUGGAUGGAUGUGAGUAUGGAGCCAAUGGUACAUGUGUAAUAUGGCAUGUGUAUGUUGCAUGCAGUAUGUACAUGUGUGGUGUGUCUGUGACUGGCAUGGGUAUAGCAUGUGUGUGAUGUGGGUAUAGGCAAAGGCAGCUCACAGUGGCCAGAGCCCCCUUGCUCUGACCGUGACAAGUAUGACAUGCUGUAGGAGCACAGAUUUGCUUUAAUGUAAAUAUUUUGAUGUCUUUCUUUUCAUGAACUUUCCCCCUUGCUGGUAAACAGGGGGCCUACAGUAAAUGAGUGGUUUUUCUGAGAACUGACUUUUAAGGAAAUAGGAAAAACCCCACAAUUUUAUUAGUUAACUGUCAGUCUUGUGCAUGAUUGACCACUUCGUUUCUCUGCUUUUAACUCCACUUCUGCAGACACUUGGCCACCAAAAAAUCACUUCAUUUUAAUUUAUAAAAACACUUUAAAAUGUAUAAAUAUACCCAUUCCAAAAUAGGAAAACUGGCAAAGACAAUAAGAGGGAGGAAAGUCAUUCUGUAGGAGGUUUCUGAGACAAGAAAACAGCCCAUCCAAUCUCCCAUUGUCCUAAUGGGAGACUCCCUGGACCGUUCCCCUGUGGAUGCUGGGCCUCCACUCCCACCAUCGUCACCCUGAGAUACUGCGAUGGGAGGGAGGAGGCACCCGGCGUUUUGGCCACAGAGCUUGAGCCUUGACACAUGCUUGUCACAUCCCAGGUGCUACUUUCCGUCCCAGGCAGGUGGCUGCAGAGCCACCUGUGUGUGCAAACACCGGCCCUGCCUACGGACGGUGCAGGCCUGUGCUGUGAUGAAUGAGGACAAGGACCGGAAGCCAGGCCAGGAAGACCUGCCUUCCAACCCGAGCUGCUCACCUGAAGGUGUCACCUCACCUCUGCCUGUCACUUCCUGAUGGGUUACGUGGAGCCAGGACUUUCUGGCCUUCAAGCCUCAUGGAGGGUUGUCAAAACCCAAGAUCCAUAACUCGCUUCAAAAUAGUCGGGGGUGGGGGAGAAGCCGUCUCCAUGCCAACCUGUGACGGAGUCUCCUUGGCAGGUGGCAGUGAUGGCAAGUGCUUGGGUCCCUGAGGCUGAUGGCAGCCCGGCCUCGGAUCACGUCCCCUGUCCCCACAACAGGUGUCUGUUCAGGAGAAUGCUAGAGAUCUCUUUCAAAGAAAGCUCCCCCUCCCCCUGAAGGGAAACUGAGGACCCUGAGAGCAAGCAUUUCGAGUCUUCUAAGGGCAGUGCGGACAGGACUUCUAAGGAAGUGUCUCCCUGCCUCCCGAGAAGAAGAAGAGGAAGAGGAGGAGGCGAAGAAGGCGACACAAGCCGCCCUGUCUUUUCUAAAGAGGGAGGGAAACUCGCCACAAAGUGUGAUCAUAGAGGCUGGAGGGGAGUCAACUCCUUUUCCUUUCAGAAUAAAUGACUGAAUUGGCUAAAAUCCACAUCGUGUGGGUGGGAGCUCUAUCUGAUCAGCCCGUCCCCCGGAUCCUGUCUCAUCUUCGCGGGCAGAGCGGCCCUACCUGCUCCCCUGGCACCUGUCAGUGCCGUGAGCACACACCGGCGUCUGCUCUGCGGAAAAACAGGACUCAAGGUCCCCGAUACGCUCCGUGCGUCCGGAGGUCUCAUUUCGUUCUGGAAGGCCGAGCCGGUGUUAGCAAACGGCUGCACACAUUCCAUCCGCUCGGCAAACAGCCUCUCUCCCAUGGCAAACACGUUCAAACCAGGAAAUUCUAGUGUUUACUGGAAAAAUAAAAAGUGGUGCUGGCUUUAAAUCGGUGACAGCCCCUGGCUUACAGACAACACAAGCGAACACACCAGUUCUGGAUUCUGGAGCCCUCUCGGAGAACAAGACAGAAAUGAAGACUCAGAGUGAGCGAGCAGCUUGCCCAGAAUGACCCGCGUGGGAUGUGGCGAAGCUGGUAAACCAAACGGGUUUUUUCACCAAGUUGUUUGUGAAGUUUGUAGGUCCCUCCAGAGCUGGAGUCAUGCCUCUGAGAUGAACCCCUGAAACACAGCUAAAGAGGCGUGAGCACAAUCCAUCUUUUUCUUCUUUUCGUGAGCAUACGGCGAUCACAGGCUCUGGAAACAUCAAAACUCCCAUCCUCAAAUAGGCUUCUGCUAAGGAUAAGAGGACUCCACAUGGUGAAGUGCAUGUUGCUGCCACGUUUUAAGUGUUUCGGAAUUACACAGCUCUAAACGAAACAAAUGAAACGUGUUCUUUACCAUCAGCAUGGAUAACUAGGUAACUCAGAGACCUGUGUUUUAAAAGCUUUUCAACUCUAGGUCCUCCUGGGCACCCAGGGCUGGAGGCACCAAGCAGAGCCGGGACAGACAGGGUGCAGCUGAAAUCCAGGGAGGACCUGGCCGGCAUGAACAACGCCAGGACAACGUGCUGAGGCAGAAUCGGGAAGCCUUUCCUACACAAGCUUCUAGAACAAGAGACAGCUGUCCCGGUGGGAGGGAGUGCCUCUGUCAUACAACUCCUGACCUCCUGGUUCAGUGGCCAAAGCAUUGUUUUCCUGGAACUGAGAGUCCUGCGAUGUGGGGCUUGCGGUGCUAACCGCGGACAGUCCCCACUGACUGGGGCCUGGCCAUUCGAGUUCCAACCUGUCCCUAGAAUUCUCUGGCAAUGAAAGGGCGCUGGCCCCUGGGGCCACGGAGAUACCCCUCUCCCGCAUGGGGGUGGGGCAGGUGGGGAGGAGGGAAGGCCCUCCCACCUUUGCCUCCUGGAGCAAAAGCACAAGCCUUUCCAGGGCCUGGACUCCGAGGUGGACGCUGGGCCCUUCAACACCGUUAGGAUUUCAUGCUAGCAACAAGAUUUUAUGUUAAGGAAAUAUUUUUAAAUUCGACAAAAUAGAGAUGUAUUUCUCAAAGACGGUACCACAUUAUUGUGAGAAAUUCCCUGAGGGAUGGUAUAUGUUAGACUUAUUUGAUAUUAUACUGAGUGUCACUAAAACACUUUCAUUUUGAAGUCUUUUCCACUUUGUGUUCUUAAGAUUGAAUGAUUUAUAUUGACCUGUCUUCACUGAUCCUUUCUUCUGUUACUUCCAAACUUAUGUGAGGCCUAUCCACUGAUUUUUUUUUUUUAUUUCUGUGUCUUGUCAGUCCUAGAACUUCUAUUUGAUUAUUUUAUUUUAAAAAAAAUGUUUCUGUAGCUUUGCUGAGAUUUCCUAUCUCUUCACUCAUUGUGA
Pipistrellus kuhlii (Kuhl's pipistrelle) is the source of this 3201-nucleotide long non-coding RNA. RefSeq lists it as uncharacterized. The record is from RefSeq and is a predicted model, not a curated record. The transcript has 4 exons. Lineage: Eukaryota; Metazoa; Chordata; Mammalia; Chiroptera; Vespertilionidae.